RNAcentral lists this ribosomal RNA (429 nucleotides) under bacterium. RNAcentral describes it as "partial 16S ribosomal RNA". It matches the Rfam family "Bacterial small subunit ribosomal RNA", at positions 355 to 776 of the family's 1533-position model. The record is from RNAcentral.
UGGGGAAUCUUCCGCAAUGGACGAAAGUCUGACGGAGCAACGCCGCGUGAGUGAUGACGGCCUUCGGGUUGUAAAGCUCUGUUAAUCGGGACGAAUGGUUCUUGUGCGAAUAGUGCAAGGAUUUGACGGUACCGGAAUAGAAAGCCACGGCUAACUACGUGCCAGCAGCCGCGGUAAUACGUAGGUGGCAAGCGUUGUCCGGAAUUAUUGGGCGUAAAGCGCGCGCAGGCGGAUUGGUCAGUCUGUCUUAAAAGUUCGGGGCUUAACCCCGUGGUGGGAUGGAAACUGCCAAUCUAGAGUAUCGGAGAGGAAAGUGGAAUUCCUAGUGUAGCGGUGAAAUGCGUAGAUAUUAGGAAGAACACCAGUGGCGAAGGCGACUUUCUGGACGAAAACUGACGCUGAGGCGCGAAAGCCAGGGGAGCGAACGGG